UUUUUACACGCGAUAAAAAUUUUAUUUCCGCCCCCAGCUGCCAUUGUUCGGUCGUAUUCUUUACCUGCCAACGGCAUGACCGCCUCUCCAGCCAAAUCAUGCCGUUUGGCCGCCCAUUCGGCUGUUCAAAAUGCAUAAAAUGUACUUUUCAGGGCUGUCCUAAGUAAGGCAUUUAGUCUGUGACACUUCUGAAGGAGUGCAGUCUUGCAAUUUCCAAACAUGCUUCCUCUCUUGCCAUUUUCCUUGAUUGCCGCCAUAUGGGUAGUACCGGUAAAAUACUAAGAAUAAGUCAAAUAAAUUUAUUUGAAUUUGAAAUUUUCACACCGCACAACGUUUCACGCCAAAUCGGGAAAUCCAGGAACUGAACAAUUACUAAUUUCUGCACGUCCCUACUUCCAACAUUUCAACACUCUGCUUCCGAAGUUUGACGGCAUGUAAUCUACUUUCAAAAGCUUUAUUUCGUUUGAUUUGAUAAAGGACAUCAAUAUUAAGGUAACCAAUAAUAGGAUAAGAUUAAGGUAAGAUUAAGGUAAUAUCAAUAUCAAACUAAUAUCCAUCGACUACACCACUACUACCAACAUUCAUUAAAACACUUUA
RNAcentral lists this unclassified non-coding RNA (597 nucleotides) under Brettanomyces bruxellensis. Lineage: Eukaryota; Fungi; Ascomycota; Pichiomycetes; Pichiales; Pichiaceae. The record is from RNAcentral.